GCGACAAAUUUUUGUUGCUUUGGCUCCAAGGUGGUAUCAAAUGAAGAAAAACAAGAGUGAAGAUGUGGGAGGACGUGGUCCUCCAUAUAGGACUUUUUGUUUAAAGUUAUCGGGAGGAGUUUUUGCCUCCCUUGAUAUGUGUACUACUCAGCACUCGUUAUAGCUCUGGUCUGUAAUAAGUAACUUGAUCCUACUUUCUAAAUAAAUGUAAGUUUAUGC
RNAcentral lists this long non-coding RNA (219 nucleotides) under Zea mays. RNAcentral's name for it is "long non-coding RNA NONZMAT003371". The record is from RNAcentral. Lineage: Eukaryota; Viridiplantae; Streptophyta; Magnoliopsida; Poales; Poaceae.